AUGGCGCCGGAGACGAGGAGUGGGAGGUCGAGGGAGCCGCGCGCAUCGGAGACCGCGUCGCCGCCGCCGCCGCCGGCGCAGCGCCCUCGGCUCACGCGCGCCGGAAGCCGGGGGUAUGCGCCGACCCGUAGCCGCUCCGGCCAGGUUAAUGAGGAUGUCCAGAGCAGAUUCCCGCAUUUAGCAAGUUCGGUACAAAAUGAUGUUACGCAGUUAAAGGCGGCGACUGGAGAGGACGAGGGAGGCACGCCCAUCCAAGACCUUGUUGUCGUCGUUCCGCGGAUGACGAGGAGGAGGGCGAGGGAGGCAUGCGCGUCGGAGACCGCGUUGCCGUCGUUGCAGCGCACUCGACUCACGGGCGGCGGAAACAGGGGGGAGGCGCCUGCCAGUGGCCGCACCGGUAAGGUUAAUGAGGAUGUCGAGAGCAGAUUCCAGCAUUUGGCAAGUUCAGUACAAAAUGAUGUAGCCAUGGAGGCAUCACUGGAUUAUAUGUCUGGAAACGACUACACCGCAGCCUCUUCUUCGCGGAUGAUAAGCAUGGGCGAUGAAGCUGUACAACCGUUGUCACGUCAUGACGGUCCCAACACCUUGGGCACAUACAAGGAUGGGCAGGACAACUACACACCCACUGGUCAUGAUGAGUCCGGUACCGCCACAAAUCCUGAAGACGCAACCGAUCGCGACGAAGGGACCGGCCAAGGGGACCAGGCAGCUGGACAACCCAAAAGGCAACGCAAGCCUAGGAGCCGAAACAAGCUUGGCACCAAUAGGAUUGUUAUCAACCGAGUGUCUGAGGCGGGUCUACCUGUUAGUCCCAAGAAGGCCGAACAAGGUUACAGGAAUGCCCUAGGUUGCAUCCUUCGCGAAACCGUGAGCAUCAAUGAAACCAAUCUCAGGUCGAAAGCGAACGAGAAUUUGCGAGCGCUCCUCAUAUCGAAGCUGCACACUCAUUACAAGUUCCCGGAUGAGUCCCUAGACGAGACCACUCCGGUAAAUAACAGAGCCCUCUGCAAGUGGUCCAAGCUUUUGAGUAGUUGGAAAUCCAAGGCCAAAAGCGAAUACCUUAAGAAAGAUUACGAAACCGAGAUAAAAAAGAUCUGGCCUUUGGUUUCCGAGGAGGACUGGAACCUGUUCAAGCAGCACUGUGAGACCCCUGAAGUCAAGGAGAUGGAAAAAUGGGGAAAGGAUAUGUGGGCUAAGAGCCGUGGUUACCCAGGGAAGAAGCCAAAGUGGGACAAGCAGGACACUGAGUUUGCUGCAGCAGGCAACUAUCCUGUCAUGGUGCCAGAGACGAGGAGUAGGAGGGUGCACGCAUCCGAGACCGCGUUGUCCUCGGCGCAGCGCCCUCGACUCACGCGAGGGUGGAUGCGCCAACCAGUGGCCGCUCCGGUUAAUGAGGAUGUCGAGAGCAGAUUCCAGCAUUUGGCAAGUUCGGUACAAACUGAUGUUACCCAGUUAGAGGUGGCGACCGGAGGGGACGGGGGAGAUGCGCGCAUCCAAGACCUUGUUGCCGUCGUUCCGCCGUUGACGAGGAGGAGGACGAGGGAGGCGUGUGCAUCAGAGACCGUGUUGCCGCCAUUGCAGCGCACUCGACUCACACGCGGCGGAAGUAGGGGGGAGGUGCUGACCAGUGGCCGCUCCGAUAUGUCUGGAAACGACUCCGCCGCAGCCUCUUCUUCACGGACGAUAAGCGCGGGCGAUGAAGCUGUAGAACCGUCAUCACGUCAUGGUGAUCCCGAUGCCUUGGGCACAUACAUGGAUGGGCAGGACGACUACACAUCCACUGUUCAUGAUGAGUCCGGCACCGCCACAAAUCCUGAAGAUGCGACCGAUCGUGACGAAGGGACCGGCCAAGGGGACCAGGCAGCUGGACAACCUAAAAAGCAACGGAAACCUAGGCGCCCAAACAUGCUUGGCACCGAUAGGAUUGUUAUCAACCGAGUGUCUGAGGCGGGUCUACCUCUUAGUCCCAAGAAGGCCGAACAAGGUUACAGUAAUGGCCUAGGCUGCAUCCUUCGCGAAACCGUGAGCAUUAAUGAAACCAAUCUCAGGUCGAAAGCCAACGAGAAUUUGCGAGCACUCCUCAUAUCGAAGUUGCACACUCAUUACAAGUUCCCGGAUGAGUCCCUAGACGAGACCACUCCGGUAAAUAACACAGCCCUCUGCAAGUGGACCAAGCUUUUGAGUACAUGGAAAUCCAAAGCCAAAAGCGAAUACCUUGAGAAAGAUUACGAAACCGAGAUAAAAAAGAAGUGGCCUUCGGUUUCUGAGGAGGACUGGAACCUGUUCAAGCGGCACUGCGAGACCCCUGAAGUCAAGGAGAUGGAGAAAUGGGGGAAGGAAAUGCGGGCAAGGAACAUUGGUCACCACACCCUUGGGAGCCGUGGUUAUCCAGGGAAGAAGCCGAAGUGGGACAAGCAGGACGCUGAGUUUGCUGCAGCAGGCAUACCAAACCCCUUCAAGGAAUUUGAAAACCCGCGUGAAAAUGAUUACAUCAGGGGCCGGUGCAAAUACGAUGAAGAGACUAAGACAUGGGUCUUGGACGAGAAAACGGCGAAAGUCAAGGAACUCCUGAGGCAGUAUCAUGUGGAAUCUCAAAGCUCCCAGGAGUCAGAGUCCUCGGCAAGGUGGGACGACCCUCUAAACAGGUCGAUCAACGUGGUGCUCGGCAAGGACCCGAAAACGAGGCCGGCUUAUGGUCGCGUGAACGGCGUUGGGCUCAACGGAAAAUGGGACACACACUAUCCCGAAGACCGCGAGCUUGCGAGGCAGAGAAGGAGAGCCGGCCGAGCUAGUUUUGAAUCCAGAUUGGCUGGAAUGAGAGAAGAACUUAAAGAAGAAAUGAGAGAGGAAGUCGAGGUGAAAGCCAAAGCCAUGGCGACAGCCCAAGUCAUGGAAAUGUGGCCCGAUCUAAUUGAGGCCGUCAAGCGAAGUUUAGCAUCGGGUCAAACAGCGGCACCAUCAUCCUCUGUCACAUUGGCGCCGGCCAAUGUUAUUUUGGAGAAAGAGCCGCGUCCUGGUGCACAUCAUAGCAGCCGCUCUGUCCCUUUCAUGGGCUAG
This 3057-nucleotide ribosomal RNA is filed under the name Triticum aestivum (bread wheat). RNAcentral describes it as "partial small subunit ribosomal RNA". Lineage: Eukaryota; Viridiplantae; Streptophyta; Magnoliopsida; Poales; Poaceae. The record is from RNAcentral.